UGGGAUCUUAGCUCCCCGACCAGGGAUCAAACCCACACCUCCUGCACUGGAAAGCGAUGUCUUAACCACUGGACCACCAGGGAAGUCCUUGUGCUCUGCCAUUUUAUAUAAGAGACUUGAGCAUCCGUGGAGUUUGGUACCCCUGGGAUCUCCUGGAACCAAUCCCCUGCAGAUACUGAGGGACAACUGUACAACGUUUGAGCCUCUUCCGAAACCCCAGAUUUUAACUUCUUGCUGGAACCAGGCACUCUAGCCACUGAAGAGCUGAGAGGCCAAACCGAAGAAGAGAGACAAUCAGAGAUUAACAUCAGCAAGAAGCCACGCACACCCCAGGGAUGGAGAGAACUUGGGAGGAGGCCAGCAGCUAGAGACAUGCGUUUGGGAACUAGAAUCACACUGGGCCAUUCAGUGGGAGCUGGAGCCCCACAGCUGCUGGUGGAGAUGCUGCAGAAUCCUGAGCCUCUGCUUAUACCUUAAAGGCAAGAGAAUUUUACUUAGUUCCUAAGGCAGUUAAGCCUAGAGGAAGAUCUUAAGAAGAUACCCUGAAAGUGGCGUUUGACAUUUAAAGGAUGGAUAAGUCAUUCUCAAUGUCUCCAAAGUUAAACUCCG
Molecule: long non-coding RNA, 609 nt
Organism: Balaenoptera ricei (Rice's whale)
Lineage: Eukaryota; Metazoa; Chordata; Mammalia; Artiodactyla; Balaenopteridae
Exons: 3
Source: RefSeq, a predicted model, not a curated record